GACGAACGCUGGCGGCGUGCUUAACACAUGCAAGUCGAGGGUAGCAAUACACUGGCGCAAGGGUGCGUAACGCGUAGAUUAUCUGCCCCAUACACUAACAUAACGCUUGGAAACGGGUGCUAAUAUUAGAUGAGGUGCUUCGGCAUCAAAGUUUCGACGGUAUGGGAUGAGUCUGCGUCUGAUUAGCUAGUUGGUAGUGUAAUGGACUACCAAGGCGACGAUCAGUAGCUGGUCUGAGAGGACGAUCAGCCACACUGGAACUGAGACACGGUCCAGACUCCUACGGGAGGCAGCAGUGAGGAAUUUUGCGCAAUGGACGAAAGUCUGACGCAGCGACGCCGCGUGUGGGAUGAAGGGGCUACGCCCUGUAAACCACUGUUAGAUGUGAAAAAAAGAUGGCUUUGCCGUCCGGGAUUGUAACAUCAAAGAAAGGACCGGCUAACUACGUGCCAGCAGCCGCGGUAAU
Molecule: ribosomal RNA, 466 nt
Filed under: uncultured bacterium
Lineage: Bacteria
Description: bacterial SSU rRNA
Rfam family: Bacterial small subunit ribosomal RNA
Source: RNAcentral